AUUGAACGCUGGCGGCAUGCCUUACACAUGCAAGUCGAACGGUAACGGGCCUUCGGGUGCCGACGAGUGGCGAACGGGUGAGUAAUGCAUCGGAACGUACCCAUUAGUGGGGGAUAACUCUCCGAAAGGAGGGCUAAUACCGCAUAUUCUGUGAGCAGGAAAGCAGGGGAUCGCAAGACCUUGCGCUGAUGGAGCGGCCGAUGUCAGAUUAGCUAGUUGGUGAGGUAAAGGCUCACCAAGGCGACGAUCUGUAGCGGGUCUGAGAGGAUGAUCCGCCACACUGGAACUGAGACACGGUCCAGACUCCUACGGGAGGCAGCAGUGGGGAAUUUUGGACAAUGGGGGCAACCCUGAUCCAGCCAUGCCGCGUGAGUGAAGAAGGCCUUCGGGUUGUAAAGCUCUUUCGGCCGGGAAGAAAUCGCAUGGGUUAAUACCCUGUGUGGAUGACGGUACCGGAAUAAGAAGCACCGGCUAACUACGUGCCAGCCGCCGCCGUAA
RNAcentral lists this ribosomal RNA (498 nucleotides) under uncultured bacterium. Its description in RNAcentral is "partial 16S ribosomal RNA". It matches the Rfam family "Bacterial small subunit ribosomal RNA", at positions 30 to 523 of the family's 1533-position model. The record is from RNAcentral.